Long non-coding RNA from Anser brachyrhynchus (Pink-footed goose), 527 nucleotides. The record is from Ensembl. NCBI's taxonomy places the organism in Eukaryota, Metazoa, Chordata, Aves, Anseriformes, Anatidae.
AUUUUAUCAUGCCCUGAAGCAGCAUGUUUUCCUCUGUGAGCUGGCUGAAGGAGCAUCUUUCUUCCUAGCUGGUUGUUUGUACUUUGUGGGAUCACAUGAAGCUACAUUUCCGGACUGCAGACAGACAGCAGUAUAGCAGUUGUACCAUGAGCCUGCACCACUGCUUCUCACCCGUCAUGUCACAGCUGAGUUCAGCCAAGAUAUAGACCAAGAGCAGAAGCCUUUUGAUUUCCAGAGCAAGGGAGCUUGUGGCAUGCUUGGAUCCUCUUGGUUAGCAUUCCCUUUCCUCACAGUGCCUUCAGGCGUCAACCUUCUCGGCGAGAUUCAAGUCAGUUCUUCCAGACACUUGUAUGUGAGCCUUUUGAAAAUAAGGUGCCUACUCACAGCACGGAGGACUACAGAGCCGGCCUAGUGAUGGAGUCAGAGCACUGGACCUCCAUUAACAUAACCACAAGGCUGCUUUACACAGAGCAGCUUAUGCUCACCACCUUUGCAUCCCAUGGUCAUCUGGUGGAAUGAAACCCUAU